RNAcentral lists this ribosomal RNA (616 nucleotides) under uncultured bacterium. Its description in RNAcentral is "bacterial SSU rRNA". It matches the Rfam family "Bacterial small subunit ribosomal RNA", at positions 290 to 916 of the family's 1533-position model. The record is from RNAcentral.
GCCUGAGAGGGUGACCGGCCACACUGGGACUGAGACACGGCCCAGACUCCUACGGGAGGCAGCAGUGGGGAAUAUUGCACAAUGGGCGCAAGCCUGAUGCAGCAACGCCGCGUGAGGGACGACGGCCUUCGGGUUGUAAACCUCUUUUAGUAGGGAAGAAGCGAAAGUGACGGUACCUGCAGAAAAAGCACCGGCUAACUACGUGCCAGCAGCCGCGGUAAUACGUAGGGUGCAAGCGUUAUCCGGAAUUAUUGGGCGUAAAGAGCUCGUAGGCGGUUUGUCGCGUCUGCUGUGAAAUCUGGGGGCUCAACCCCCAGCCUGCAGUGGGUACGGGCAGACUAGAGUGCGGUAGGGGAGAUUGGAAUUCCUGGUGUAGCGGUGGAAUGCGCAGAUAUCAGGAGGAACACCAAUGGCGAAGGCAGAUCUCUGGGCCGUAACUGACGCUGAGGAGCGAAAGCAUGGGGAGCGAACAGGAUUAGAUACCCUGGUAGUCCAUGCCGUAAACGUUGGGAACUAGAUGUAGGGUCCAUUCCACGGAUUCUGUGUCGCAGCUAACGCAUUAAGUUCCCCGCCUGGGGAGUACGGCCGCAAGGCUAAAACUCAAAGGAAUUGACGG